UGCAAAGCCUGUUGGUCUGAGCUGCCAGGGGGGUAGGGCUGUGGGGAGGGGUCCCAAGCUGCUGCAUUAUGUGACUGAGGAUCAGCUGGGUGGGGGAGACAAUCUGGCAGUGCUGGGGUCUGAGAGUUGUGUGUCUGGGAUCCGUGCUGGUACUGUGGUUUUUAAAUGCAUGGUCAGGCCCCAGAGCUUGGGAUGGUGCCUAUCACCAUGGAGGUUUAUUAAAUAUCACUGGCCUCCCAGUAACAGUUAGAGACCCCAGCUGCGUGCAGGACCCAGAGUGCCUGGUGCUCAAUGCGCACAGAAUACACAGCAGCUGCCCCAAUGUGAUCGCAAUCUAAACUGCCAAAGGGUGGGUGGGGAAAUGGAGGCAGGUGAAGUGACUUGCCUAUGGUCAUACAAUCAGUCACUGGCAGAGCCGGGAACAAAUCCAGAUCUCUGGAGUCCCGGGGUGGUUCUCUGCCCCCUAGACCACGCUGCCUCUCAGUCAAUAAAUAUUUCAGCCUAAUUACCUGGCUUAAUUGUAACCGGGUAAAACCUGACUCCUAGGGACAAGCGUCACCCCCAGCUUCCAGCCACGAGAACUGAGUGGGACUGGGGCUUUGGUCAGGGAUUUCUGAUAAGUUGAGACUGAAACUUUUCAUGAGACAGGGUUUGUCUGGAUGAAACGUGUGUUGGGAAGGUUUCUCAGGUCCAGGGUGGAGUUCCUGGUAGAGGGGAGAGAGUGGGACCCCAGAGCAGCUCCUCUUCCCUAACCACAGGGUUCCUGGCUGCUCUGGGGCUGUUCUCUUUCCACGCACAUUCGAAGGGUCUCGGUUUCCUCCUCAUGGAGAAUGGGAAUGCGGGGGGUGGUGGUGGUGGUGGAAUGGGAAAGCUGGUUCCUGCCCCACUCCUGAGUUCUGAGACUCAGGACUUUGCUAUGGCAUCUCCUCCAACUUGCUGGGACUCCCCCUCCCCCUGCGUUGUUCCCUCUGGGACCCCGGCCCUGUCAGCGCGAGGGACCCUUCAUCCCGCUGCUCAGCUCAGAUGUGAGGGUCGCUGGGGACAACCAGGGCAGCAGCAUUGCAGCAUGGUGGGGCUAACCCCAGAGCUGUGACCUCAGCGGAGGCUCUGCUGAGCCGGGCCCAUGGGUGGGGCCAUGCUGAGCUAGCUGAAGCGGUUCUGGGGCUGUGACAGGGCUCUGAGCCAGUUCCCCUAGCCGGCCGACCAGCUGGGUGGGGACAGGACUGCUUGUUUAUUCCAGGCAAGAGCUCAAGGCCACCUUGGCUGCCUUUUCUCUCUGCCUCUCCCACUCCUGGCAUGAUAACAGCUCCCGGCGAAGGACAGUUUGCACAGUUAUCUGCAGUGGCUUCUCCUCAAUCUUUGCAUGGAGUCCCUGGCUGGGGCACUGCCAGGUGUGGGCUGAGCCUCGCUACCAGCUCCCAUCUGGCCCUUUGGUUUAACAGCUUUUCCCUCAAGGUGAGAACCAAGGUUUGCUUAAAGUAGGGGUGGGGCACAGGAGGGUCUCUCUCUCUCUCUCUCUCCUUCCCUCAACCCCUCCUUUCCUGGAUGGCUGGGAACCCCAAUCCCCUCUGCACCCCGACAAACCAAUCUCAAUACCUGAGCCCACCUUUGGGCAGCAGCGUGGCCUGAGGACAGGGGAGGGAGUUUGACUUCGGAUCCCAGCUCCACCACUGCUGAUGUGCUUGGCCCAGAUCUGCAGAAGUGUUGCAGCACCUAAAUCCUACUGGUUUCAAUGGGAGUUAGGUGCCUGGAAGCCUUUGGGGGUCUGAGACUUGGUUCCCAAGUGCCCUCUGAUGGUGGGUGCCUCUGUCUCUGUCUGUCCCAACUAGAGCAGUGGUUCUCAACUUGCGACCCGUGGGCCACUCGCAGCCCAAUCCGCGCACAGCUGUGGCCCCUGUGACAUCCUCAGGGCCACCCAGGGAGUGUGUAUGGGGUGUGGUUGUGUCCCACAUAGACAGCUGCCCAUGGGACCCACAACAGUAAAUAGGUUGAGAACCACUGAACUAGAAGCUCUUUGGGGGCUGGUGUUUGGAGGGGUGGGGCACCCGCAGCACUAGCUGGCUUCAGGGGCAGAUGCCCAGCACCACUGAAAAUUAGGCCCAAGGUGUGUCAGGAUGGGCACCCCAAACAAGGCUCCUCUUCCAUGCCUGCAGCUGCCCCAGUGCCCUCCUGAAAUGGGCUGUCUAUUGACCUCCCUCCCCAGGCUGUAACCAAGCUCCUGGGCAAGCGCCAGCGCUCUGAGGCACGGGUGCUGCUCUACAGGAGGACAGAGCAUGGGCACUGGCCAGCUGGCUUAGCAAGUCUGAGUCCUGCUCCACCAAGAUCGACUUCAGCCAGGGGUGGAGCGGGAAUCCUGCAUCGGGGCUAGAAACUGUCCUGGAACAUUUGGCCUUGCUGCUCAGCCUGAGAUGGCAGAAGUUCCUUGGCUUCAGCACGUGAACCUGUACCUGGCUGCUCAGUGCAAGGCCAGACUCCACCCUGGUGAGUUGGCACCAACUUCAGUGGGGUCUGGCCAGGGAUGGAUUCAGGCUGACCUGCCGGAAGUCAGGGUCCCGGUCGGUCCUGGGGUCUCUACAGGGGUUGGCGAAAAAGGAAGGAGCCUGUUGCAGGUCAGUCACGUGGCACCAACUACACCAGGCAAGCUGCUGAUCUCUCUCCAUCCACGUUCUCCAACCAUUCCCAUCGCUGUGGCAUCUGGCCAGAGGCUGAUUUCAAAUAGCUGAACUCUGGUACUGCAGGAGGCAUCUCGGCUGGAGAUCAAACUCGCAGUGUCCUUCUAGUGUCUUGUCUUGUGGCUGCAGUAAUUCACAGUUGGAUCUUUUGUCCUGAACUGAAUGAAGGGGACCUGGUCAGCUGAAAGGAUCGUUAUCAGCUUAAAAUAGUUGACUGGGACAAAUUUAUAACCCUUCAGGUUACUGAUUGAGCCUCCUUUAAGUAGCAUGUAUGGAAAUAUAUAUUGUUGGUGUAUUUUGUCCCCCUGCUGAUAUUUACAAAGGUUUCUCCAGCAGGGGCGAGUGGGUGAUCCCAAGAUCAAAGCCAUGCUUGGACCCCAGACAGCUCCCCCUUCUCUCAGUUGCAUCUUUGCUGCUGCUCUUACUGGCAAGCUCCCUCUUGCAAGGCCUGGGGGAAAGCAUGCAUGUGAACUUCCCCCAGCAAUGCCUGACAGGCUGAGAGUGGUGUCCUUGUGCUAAUCAAAUGCAUGAGACAAAUCGGCACUCCCAUGGGUACAACAAAUGGAAUUGAUUGACCACCGGCUGCUGUAAAAGAGAAAUAAAUCUCUCUUUUCUCUCUGUUUUCAAUUGCAGUGAUUGUCAGCAUUAUUUGUAACCAUUUCAGGUACAAUUCGUCAGGGGGAAAUAAAGGGUUAUUUCCCCAAG
Molecule: non-coding RNA, 3377 nt
Organism: Chelonoidis abingdonii (Abingdon island giant tortoise)
Lineage: Eukaryota; Metazoa; Chordata; Testudines; Testudinidae
Source: RefSeq, a predicted model, not a curated record